GUUACCUUCCCCACAGACGUAUUGCUUUUCCUCAUACUUGUCUCCGGUGUACUCCAGCAGGAGGCGGAUGUGCUGGCCAAGCUGCAAAUGUCCAAUAAUCAGCUGAAGGCGACCUGGGCAGCUGCGGUGGUGCAAAGUGUGGCUGGUGAGCUGGUGUCUGCAGCCUAUAAAAGGGGACAACAGUCUUCAUCUUCUCCUCCUGCCUGGCUGCUCCAUCUACAACAUCCUUUGUUUAAUAUAUCCACAAUACCCUCUCUGCACAUGUCCGAACCAUCUCAGCCUUGCUUCUCUAACUGUUUCCAAACUGCUCAACCUGAGCUGUCCCUCUGACAUACUUCUUUCAGAUCCUGUUCCUCAUUCACACUCAUGCUUUGUCUGCUUUCAUCCCUCUUGUCUACAGUGCAUACCUCCACCUGUCUUUUCACCUGUUCCCUAUUCUCACUACAGAUCACCAUCUGUGAACCUAACGGUCCACUGAGACUCCGGCCUGACAUCAUCUAUCAGCCUUUCCAUCACCACCGCAAACACGAAAGAACUUCUGAAGGAUAUCCUGAAUCUCUAACUCAUUGUGAUGAAUUAAAGAAAGAAGCAAGCACCUUGGGCACACUGACUGCAUAUUUUAUCUCUAAUAUUUGCCCACUAGCAGCUCUAAAUACAUUCCCAUAACGCAGCCUUCUCUUUUUACAUGAUGUGAUAUGUUUACAUAUAUUUUUGUCAUUUCCUGAUGUAAAAACAGGGAACGUGGAACAUUAGCUGUUAUUUCCCCCUUUUUAGUGUUGGUUGGACCCAGCCAGUAACUCUUGACCUUCCUCUAAAAAAUGUUUCAAACUGCUAUUAGACUACCUGGAGAAGAAAAGCCUGAGGAAAGUGUCCUAUAACUAUAAAACCAUAAAUUGUUUAAUCAAUACACAGGACGAAUAAUCUUUCCAGUGUGUCUUUAAUCAGUACACUGUUAAUGGCACACGUAUCACAUGACCUCAGUUUCCAAACUCAAGCAGCAAUGCUGUACUCUUCUAUUAAGAGCCCCUAAACAUAAAAAGCUAAAAAAAAGCACAAAGCAAAACAUCAACAUCCAGCCAUCCAUUUUCAGUUAUUUAUCUGUGCAGCGGUGUAAGCAAAAAUGGCAUUGAUUUCCCCAGCCACCACCUCACAGCUCUUCAUUAUGGUGUUCCUAAGCCUUACAAGAGACAUAAUCUGCCUGCUGUGUCCUUGGUCUGCCCUGAGGUCUCAAACCACCUAAUUACCUUAACGAGAAGGUGUCAGGUAACAACAAAACACCUUAAUUGGCUCCUUUGAGAUGAAAUGCCUUUUACCAUUACAAAAUUGUACAGUAUUCCAUAAUGAAUGCAUCCUGUUAUUUCUAAUGCUUGCAUUCCUAAAGGAGCAAAACCAAAUUUACAUAUUUUUCCUGUAGCCUACUUAUCCAAAAAAGAUAUUUGUGUGAAUUUCCCAGUUUUGGAGAUAUUUGCUGUAAAAUGUUUGUCUUCUUUGAUAUACUGCAUGUAAAUAGGACAUGCCCUGUUGUACUUAAAUAUGUAUUUAAAUAACUUAAAUGAAGCACCAGAAAUCAUGACCCAGUUUUGCACAACUUCUUUUAAAUCAGUUGCAAACAGUUACAUUUAUGGGACUAUUUUAUUUUUGCCGUCUACAUCCACUGUUGACUCCAGGAUCAUGUAGUGAAGUAAAAAAUAAAACAAGAAUAUUAUCAACAAAGUAAUAGUGAAAAAUAAAGCCCAUGAUAAGCUUACUGAUGAAGAUAUUAUAUACAUUUGCAGCAUUAAAACUGGAUGCCUCUGGGUAAUUAUUAAUAAUUCAGACACAAGUAAACUUUUAGUAUGAGGUAGUCACUGGAAGUGGAACAUGCUAAUCAGAAUUCGGUAAGCACAAAUCUUGAAGUUUGGUCCAAACUCCAGCUGCACUUAGACUGGGAGCUGAACUUUGAACUUCCGGCACUAACGGACAACAACAGAGCUUUGCAUCCCUGCCAUAUCCCAUCAUUACUUUGCACUUUUGUCUUAAAAUUUGUCUUCUUUAUUUUUAGCUUUUAAGCUAGCACUCAUAAAAUGCAAACAGAAUGGCUGGCGUGGCUGCUGAAAUCACCAUCUGAUUUAUCUGCUGUGCUACUUUAUGUUUUGUAGAAGAAAAUUGUUUUGUUUUCAAAUGAAAACAUUUAAACUUUGAUUUUUGGCAUUUCUUUGGGUUUCCGCAGCUGAACAUAAACCCACAAGGCAUGUUUCACACUCAGAAAAGAUAAAAGAUCUUGCAAGUUCACAGCUGAGGAGAACAAUGUGAAUUUUUCUCAGUGUUAAUGAGAGCUGGGCAGAGAUGUUAAUGUUUAAAUUUAAAAACAAAAUCUCUAUUAAACAAUGUGACGACAUUGUUAGAGAAAGAAAAAAAAAAGUUAGUAAACAAAUUUGUAGCCACUAAGAUAAAUAUGUAGGAUUUACUAUGCAAAAUGUAGAGAAUGAAACAUUCAACAUUUGUCACACGACAUACUAAAGAAAUGUCAGAAUUAUAAUUAUUUUGAUACAAAGAUAAAACAUGUUGAAAGAUCAAAUUCUUAGAAAUAUUUUAGAGCUUUUUUGUAAUUUUGCUUGUCUUCAGGAACAGUUCUCCAGGCUUCUUAAAGGACAUUCAGAGCACUUAUUUCAGUAUUGGCUGCCUUUUGUUCUCUUCUCUAUUGAGACAUUUGUUUUUAAGGCUAUCAAUUUUGACAAGAUCUCCAACACCACUGGCUGAGAUGCAGCCCCAAACCAUGACAGAACUUCCACUGUGUUUUACA
Long non-coding RNA from Oreochromis aureus, 2782 nucleotides. RefSeq lists it as uncharacterized. The transcript is spliced from 3 exons. Lineage: Eukaryota; Metazoa; Chordata; Actinopteri; Cichliformes; Cichlidae. The record is from RefSeq and is a predicted model, not a curated record.